This 739-nucleotide long non-coding RNA is filed under the name Toxoplasma gondii VEG. The record is from RNAcentral. Lineage: Eukaryota; Apicomplexa; Conoidasida; Eucoccidiorida; Sarcocystidae.
CACGUAUCGAAACCCUCGUGCUUGAUAACUGAAGCAGCAAGUGGCAACCCAUGAAUUACAGCCAAAGGAGUAAAGGAUAUUUUCCUAUUAACAGUAGCACGGGUUUAACCCAGGUGCUAGCUCGAAUCAAAUGGUACACACUUAGGGUGCUUCUUCCGACGAUGCACCAUCGUGGACGAGCUCAAACCAAUAGAACGGAGGAGGAAUCAGGAACGAUCGUUGAAGCGGAGUAGCUCGCAAAAUGUGCAAGUAUCGUCAGGUGUCGAAUGCAUGCAGUUUUGCAAUGCAAUGUCGGGAAGGAAAAACACAGCGUAGGCGGUUGGCAGCGAGAAACAACAAGUCGAAGACAUCUUGUCCCGCUCAUCCUCAUUAAAAUGCGCGACGACCUGGCUUCGAAACAUUAAAACGCCGAUGCACUUCGCGGUCGCGUUAGCUUCACCAGGGUAACUGUAAAACUUCCGUGUCCGCAACUAGUUCCUGCGUUUUGAGAGGUGACAGUAAAUUCUUCCAGUCGACUGAAGGCGUGCGCGGACGUUUGUGGUUUUAGUGGUCCAACAGGAAAGAGCACAGAGAUUGUGUUUGCUGGAAAUGAACUGAACAAGUCGACCCCUGGCAAAAGUGACAUGUUGCUUCAUUCUGGCGGAACAUUUGUUCCGUAGAGCCCUUGAGUGUAUACUGAAAGAGUCUCGAGUUAAUUUGAGCAAGUUUGCCGGCGGAAUGAUCUUCUCCACUACUGGGG